Long non-coding RNA from Bombyx mori (domestic silkworm), 405 nucleotides. RefSeq lists it as uncharacterized. The record is from RefSeq and is a predicted model, not a curated record. NCBI's taxonomy places the organism in Eukaryota, Metazoa, Arthropoda, Insecta, Lepidoptera, Bombycidae. The transcript is spliced from 2 exons.
CGACAUUUAUGAAAAGCAGGCUCUCAAUGUUAUUGACAUCGCGCAAUUUGGUUCUCAAAGUCGAUUAAAAUAAGUACCGUUAAAAUUACUGAAAGUUUAGUUGCAAAUUAUCAAUAUCAUUUUAUCUGCUUUAUGGAUGAUCAUGGUUAUGAAUGUUAUUAUGAGAAAAAAGUGAUUAGCUACAGAAGUUACAUUACGUCUCGAGCGAUCCAAAGCGUAGCAACACGUAUGAUACGUCAAUACGUGUCGGAGCCAAAAAAAGCAACAAUGACUAAAUUUUCUGUGGCAGUCAGCGUAUUGCAUUCUUCAAGAUUGUAUGUGAAAGUUUUUUUGCAGGUCCAAUUUUUAAAAGGACUUUUUAAAAUAAAAUAUAAAAGCUAAUAAAAACUAAUAAUAAAAAAACAA